GACAGAGGUGCCGAGCGUUAGGCGGAGUCACUGGGCUUAAAGCGUGUGUAGGCGGGCGGGCAAGUACCUUGUGAAAUCCCACGGCUCAACCGUGGAACGGCUGGGUAUACUGCCUGUCUUGAGCCAACUAGGGGCGAGCGGAACAGACGGUGGAGCGGUGAAAUGCGUAGAUAUCGUCUGGAACGCCAAAGGUGAAAACAGCUCGCUGGGGUUGUGCUGACGCUGAGACACGAAAGCCAGGGGAGCGAACGGG
RNAcentral lists this ribosomal RNA (253 nucleotides) under uncultured bacterium. Its description in RNAcentral is "partial 16S ribosomal RNA". It matches the Rfam family "Bacterial small subunit ribosomal RNA", at positions 524 to 776 of the family's 1533-position model. The record is from RNAcentral.